RNAcentral lists this transfer RNA (71 nucleotides) under Humisphaera borealis. RNAcentral describes it as "tRNA-Glu". It matches the Rfam family "tRNA". Rfam says of the family: Transfer RNA (tRNA) molecules are approximately 80 nucleotides in length. Their secondary structure includes four short double-helical elements and three loops (D, anti-codon, and T loops). Lineage: Bacteria; Pseudomonadati; Planctomycetota; Phycisphaerae; Tepidisphaerales; Tepidisphaeraceae. The record is from RNAcentral.
GCUCUCAUCGUCUAACGGAAGGACCCCGGUCUUUCGAACCGGUGGCGCGGGUUCAACUCCCGCUGAGAGCA